GACGAACGCUGGCGGCGUGGAUUAGGCAUGCAAGUCGAACGGUAUCAUCCUUUCGGGGGUGAGAGAGUGGCGAACUGGUGAGUAACACGUAGGUUAUCUACCCUCAAGACGGGGACAACCCAGGGAAACUUGGGCUAAUACCGGAUGUGAGCAACUUUUAGUUGUUUGAAAGGUGGCGUAAGCUGUCGCUUGGGGAUGAGCCUGCGUCCUAUUAGUUAGUUGGUGAGGUAACGGCUCACCUAGGCAAUGAUAGGUAGGCGGCCUUAACGGGUGGUCGCCCACACUGGGAUUGAGAUACGGCCCAGACUCCUACGGGAGGCAGCAGUCGAGAAUAGUCUACAAUGGUCGGAAGACUGAUAGUGCGACGCCGCGUGAACGAUGAAUCCCUUCGGGGUUAAAGUUCUUUUAUAUGUGAGCAGUGCUUCUUAUAUUAACAGUAUGGGGAAGAGAUAUUAGCAUAUGAAUAAGCAACGGCUAACUCCGUGCCAGCAGCCGAGGUAAAA
This 503-nucleotide ribosomal RNA is filed under the name uncultured bacterium. RNAcentral describes it as "bacterial SSU rRNA". It matches the Rfam family "Bacterial small subunit ribosomal RNA", at positions 28 to 525 of the family's 1533-position model. The record is from RNAcentral.